Molecule: ribosomal RNA, 368 nt
Filed under: uncultured organism
Description: bacterial SSU rRNA
Rfam family: Bacterial small subunit ribosomal RNA
Source: RNAcentral
CGAAGGUGGCAAGCGUUGUUCGGAUUUACUGGGCGUACAGGGUGCGUAGGCGGUUCGGUAAGCCCUCCGUGAAAUCUCCAGGCUUAACCUGGAAAGUGCAGAGGGGACUGCCGGGCUAGAGGACGGGAGAGGAGCGCGGAAUUCCCGGUGUAGCGGUGAAAUGCGUAGAGAUCGGGAGGAAGGCCGGUGGCGAAGGCGGCGCUCUGGAACGUUUCUGACGCCGAGGCACGAAAGCGUGGGGAGCAAACAGGAUUAGAUACCCUGGUAGUCCACGCCUUAAACGAUGGAUACUAAGUGUCGGCGGGUUACCGCCGGUGCCGCAGCUAACGCAGUAAGUAUCCCGCCUGGGAAGUACGGCCGCAAGGUUG